AACAUGUCUGUUUGGAGUUAUAAAAAGUUUGGCCUGCCCACUGAUGAGUUAAAGGGCCGCGGUAUUCUGACCGUGCAAAGGUAGCAUAAUCGUUAGGUUUUUAAUUGAAAUCUUGUAUGAAUGGUUGGACAAAGAAAAUCUUGUCUCUGUAUUUAAUGAUUGAAAUUAACUUUUAAGUGAAAAGGCUUAAAUGGGUUAAAAAGACGAUAAGACCCUAUAAAACUUAAUAUAAAAUUAUUAUAAAAUGGAAUUUUAGUUUAUAAAAGUUUAAUAAGUCUUUGUAUUUUAUUGGGGCGAUAAAAAUAAAAUGUUCAUUAACUGUUUAAAAUUAUAGACAAAAAUGAAUGAUUAAGAUUCUAAAUGAUCCUGUGUUAUAGAUUAUAAGUUUAAGUUACUUUAGGGAUAACAGCGUUAUUUUCUUUGAGAGUUCUUAUCGAAAAGAAAGUUUGCGACCUCGAUGUUGAAUUAAGAUAUCUAUACAAUUGCAGAAGUUGUAUAGGAAGGUCUGUUCGACCUUUAAAAUUUUACGUGAUCU
This 535-nucleotide ribosomal RNA is filed under the name Opusia indica. Its description in RNAcentral is "partial large subunit ribosomal RNA". It matches the Rfam family "Bacterial large subunit ribosomal RNA", at positions 1828 to 2606 of the family's 2925-position model. Lineage: Eukaryota; Metazoa; Arthropoda; Malacostraca; Decapoda; Camptandriidae. The record is from RNAcentral.